Molecule: transfer RNA, 74 nt
Filed under: Nocardioides sp.
Lineage: Bacteria; Bacillati; Actinomycetota; Actinomycetes; Propionibacteriales; Nocardioidaceae
Description: tRNA-Pro
Rfam family: tRNA
About the family: Transfer RNA (tRNA) molecules are approximately 80 nucleotides in length. Their secondary structure includes four short double-helical elements and three loops (D, anti-codon, and T loops).
Source: RNAcentral
CGGGCUGUGGCGCAGUUUGGUAGCGCACCUGACUGGGGGUCAGGGGGGCGCAGGUUCAAAUCCUGUCAGCCCGA